UACGGAGGGUGCGAGCGUUGUCCGGAAUCAUUGGGCGUAAAGCGCGUGUAGGCGGCCCGGUAAGUCCGCUGUGAAAGUCGGGGGCUCAACCCUCGAAUGCCGGUGGAUACUGUCGGGCUAGAGUGCGGAAGAGGCGAGUGGAAUUCCUGGUGUAGCGGUGAAAUGCGCAGAUAUCAGGAGGAACACCAAUUGCGAAGGCAGCUCGCUGGGACGUGACUGACGCUGAGACGCGAAAGCGUGGGGAGCAAACAGG
Molecule: ribosomal RNA, 253 nt
Filed under: uncultured bacterium
Lineage: Bacteria
Description: partial 16S ribosomal RNA
Rfam family: Bacterial small subunit ribosomal RNA
Source: RNAcentral